AGGCUGAACUGACUUUCAGUGCAGGGGACAUUAUCACUGUGUUUGGGUCCAUGGACGAUGAUGGAUUCUAUUAUGGAGAGCUGAACCAACAGAGAGGCCUUGUCCCAUCUAACUUCUUGGAAGCUGUAACUUCAGAUGCAAGCGUGGUCGAGGAACUUCAUUCAAAAGAAAAAGAAGCUUUUCCAUUGAGUUCUGAGAGCCAGAGAAUGAGGAGGAGAAGAGUCCAGUGAUAGAUAUGAAUGAUACAUAGAGAGAGAGAGCAACCAUUUAAAUCCAGAUGGGUCUGUUGAUCAGAGCGACUCCUCACCAAUUCCUACUCUACCACCUUCCUGCCUUGCCAUGGGCGAGCAGUGUCCACAACAGGCAUCGCUGGCCGUUCUCAAAUGCGGUGAUGUACCUGGUCAGAGUAAAAAGAAGAGAGGCUUCUUCUUCAAAGGAAAAAAGCUCUUCAGAAAACUUGGGUCCAGUAAGAAAAAUUAACAAGGGAUUUAUUGUUCUGUUAAGACUGCCUGUGCAGUCCAAACAGGGACUAAAAAUUCAGGAGAAGCCCUCUGCAAUAAGCUGAUUAGAGUAUUUUCAUAGGGACAAAGUGUAUAUUGAAUAGAGAAAACUCUUCAGUGGGUCUGUGAGCUGUGGUCUCUGCUGAGAGCCCAGCCAUGGGUGCCCACCCAGCAUGGGCAGUGGCUCCGAACAGUGUCAUGGCACUGGGGGGUGUGAGGCCUCAGCUCUGGGAUACAGCUACCUCCAGAGUGGCGUGUCCUGCUCCAUGCAGCCCUCAAUGCACUGGUUCCCUGUAAAUAUUUUAGUUUAAAAAUUAUAUUCUGGCUGUAAGUUAGCUAAAUGGCUUUUCCCAGCAAAGCCCUGGCCCCUUAGGAAGAGCUCCCAUGUCCUACACACCCUGGUGUUCCUCUGGUCCGAAGGAGGUUGUGUCACCUCCUCCACUUCCUGCAAAGAAAACUUGCACUUUUCUGUUCCCGUGAAUCCCCUUUGCUGUCUGUGGGCUGACGAGUGAGUUAUUUGUACUGUAAACCUGUAAAUACGCGGCUGUGCCUAGGAGCAUCCCACACUGCCUCAGUCACGUCUCGGCACGAGGAUUCCCAUGGUGGAAGGAGCGAUACCCUGAAGGGCAUCGGUACUUCUGCCUGUAGCGUGGGCUGAAAAAAAAACUGGUUCACCUUGACCACACACUGGCUGGGGACUCCGCCUUAUUUAUUGAUUGAUUUAUUUAUUUCUCUAUCUAUCUAUUUAUUUAUUUUUUCGUCUGCCUCUUUCGCGGUUUUAUUUGGCUGUUUCGGUGGGCUGCUCCUCAGCUGGAGCAUUUGGAGAGCAGAGCUGGGGAUGGAGAGUUUGCAGCUAUUUUCAUACGAGAUGAUGUGUUCCUUGAGUUAAGACACAUCCCUUUCUAAGCCACGGAGAGUUUUGUACUACAUGGUUUCUAUCCUUUUCAGUGUUUCUUUCUUUGCAUGUUUCAGUGAGGUACCUGUUUUGAGAAGGACAGUUAUGUGAGGUUUGUGAAUGAUGCCAGCACAGUGUCCACGAGUGUUGGUGAUACGGUAUGUUUUUAUUUAAUAUCAAAUUUUAUUAUAAUAAAGUCUAUUUUCACAAAAAUACAUUUUCC
Tauraco erythrolophus (red-crested turaco) is the source of this 1618-nucleotide non-coding RNA. Lineage: Eukaryota; Metazoa; Chordata; Aves; Musophagiformes; Musophagidae. The record is from RefSeq and is a predicted model, not a curated record.